Molecule: transfer RNA, 74 nt
Filed under: Daphnia pulicaria
Lineage: Eukaryota; Metazoa; Arthropoda; Branchiopoda; Diplostraca; Daphniidae
Description: tRNA-Asn
Rfam family: tRNA
About the family: Transfer RNA (tRNA) molecules are approximately 80 nucleotides in length. Their secondary structure includes four short double-helical elements and three loops (D, anti-codon, and T loops).
Source: RNAcentral
GCCUCUGUGGCGCAAUUGGCUAGCGCGUUCGGCUGUUAACCGGAAGGCUGGUGGUUCUAUCCCACCCAGGGGCG